RNAcentral lists this unclassified non-coding RNA (240 nucleotides) under soil metagenome. RNAcentral describes it as "partial contains 5.8S ribosomal RNA, internal transcribed spacer 2, and large subunit ribosomal RNA". The record is from RNAcentral.
AACACUGUUAACCUGCGGUACCUGCGGAGGGAUCAUUACCGAGUUAGGGUAGUCACUCACUGCCCGACCUCCCAACCCUGUGUCUAUCACACUUUGUCGUUGCUUCGGCGGGCCGGUUGACCAACUGGUCAUGACCGCCGGGGGCUAGCUCUGUCCCCCCUGGAGAGCGUCCGCCGAUGGCCCAACCACAAAACUCUUGUACCGAAACGUGUCGUCUGAAUUAUGUUUGAGAAAUCAAAA